AAAAUUGAAAUCCUAUGCUACGGUCUUGUAGACAAUCACGUGCCCAGAUCUUGCUUUAAUUUGUUGCUGCUGAAAUCACUGCUUUUGAAUCUCCUGACCCGGCCCAAUCCUACAAACAAACAUGCACAACAUGGGUGAUUAUUCCCUACAACAGAUCGCACAAACUGAUUGUAUAGCAAUGGUAGUGACUACUUCCCUUUUCUCCUGGUGCAGUUGAUGCAUCUAAGAGAUUCCUUUUGCUCUCAACUCACUAUCUGCUGCACGAAGGAUUCACACAAAAUCAGUAACCACACCAAUGCUUAACAAUUAUAAGACACACAGACAGUUUGAAACAAAUCUACAAUUAAUCUAAAACUCCCUUUAGUUCAGAGGACUGCUCCUAGCCUGCUCCAACUAAUCAGCAGAUCCACUUUUCACUUGUAACAUCCUACACUACAUUCUUGUAAACUGAUGCACUAGCUAUAUGAUAUCAAUUAAAUCAGACCUGCACAGCUACACCAAAAUAGCAGAUACUUCAAAUGAAUCAGCAGAUACACCAAAAUCAGUUCACGCAUAGCUAGCUAAGUGGCAUGCAAAGGUAUGUAGUCAAUCACUCUGGAUAAAACUGAAAUCGGAAACUGCUUUCCCAAUAAAAUUGAAAUGAUAUUUUUAACCAGGGAAGAAAAUGUUUCAAUUCAAGGCCUUAGUACAAAACAAUUCCAAUUCAGAAUCAUCAUUUGCAAGUGAAAAAGAAAGGAAAUUCACAAUCAUAAUUAUGCAGCAGUUUAAAAGAACAGAAGGCAGUAAUCAGAGAAUUGUGAUCCCAGCUUAAACAAACCCAUUCAGAAAUCAGAGUGGUUAAUUCUAGUUUACAUAAACUGUCAUAUCAGAAUCAACACUCCUAAAGUCUAUUCUCAUGAGAUCCCUUGCUCAACUUCUACACUGUUGCAGCUAGUUGUAACUCACUUUCUACUAAGCACGACCUGUGAAUGACAAUCAAGACAAAAACUACCCAAAUAUAAUUGGUGAGUACAAUUCAGAUUUAGAACUGAGAUAAGAACACACUCUCAACAAGAAAUAUGGCUUUAGAGGUAGCCAUACAAAGCUCACAAAAAAAAUCAGAUCUAUCUCUGGAAGCUCAAAACACUCAAAAAAUGUAAAGGUGUGGAAGGGAAAUUCUCCCUUCUCAGUACAAGGCUGGAUAGUCUUUCAGACCACCACCACCUAAGAUGCUACCAAGCACACAAACCUCUUUCCAAAUUUCCAGAAACCAAAGAGUGAACAUGCUUCUCAAACCAGAUUGGCUAUGCUAAGUAAAGGCAGGCAAGACAGAACAGGACAGCAAUCCAAUUCAAGAGGCUCUAGAUCAGACUUUAGAUUAGAUCAUAAAAACAAGGAAAAGCUCAAAUUAAGAACAACUGAUCAGAGUUUACUUGAUGUAGACACAACCAAGACAGCCAAGAAGACAAGCAAAUAAAAACAAGCUAUUUAGAACA
This 1475-nucleotide long non-coding RNA is filed under the name Vigna radiata. Its description in RNAcentral is "long non-coding RNA (VRAD_LNC016194)". The record is from RNAcentral. Lineage: Eukaryota; Viridiplantae; Streptophyta; Magnoliopsida; Fabales; Fabaceae.